AUGAAAGGAGCCCAGUGUAGUGUAACUGCGUUCCCAGCACUACCCGGCUUCUCUGGUUGCACUCGCAUGACCUCUGCUUGGUUUCUGUCACUGCCAAGCAGGCAGAGAACAAACAAGUGCAGGGUGGCAUGUCAGAUCCUCUGUCGAUGCACCGAAUUGAGCAAUUAUACUCUACAGCAGUCACCCUCAGGGCAUUAAAAAGAGGGAGAAAGGGGAACAGUGUGUGUGAAGACAGAGAUACACCACCAAUAGCUUUUUGUCUCUCCUUCAGUUAAUACAGUAAUUAGCCCUACCCACUCUUGCCUCAGGCACCACAGAAGGAAAAAACAUGUGCACGUUGAAGUGAUAUGCCCCAGAUUAAGGAAAGGGGUUGCUGCCCUGCAUUACAGUUAAUAUAUAUGUUUAUAUAACAGUGCAGGACAACAAAUCUAUCCCAUAGCUUUCUUCAUUGUCAGUGUAGUCUAUCACCAACUUGUUCAGUGCUCCUACUCUUGCCUCUCCUACACAACUCCUGACAAGAUGUGGAUGUCUGAGGAUGUGCCACAGGAACUCACAAGCCCCAUUUUGUAAAAUAAGCCCCUGCACUCUCAACCAACAUAAUCACAUAUAUGCAGAAACAAAGAGCUUCUGAUUAGCCAUGAAGCUGUGUGGAGGCUGGAGCUGUGAAAGAAGCAGCAGAAGGAGAAAGCCCACACUCCACAAUGUUUCCAGUGACUAAGAGAUUGGGUUUGGCUGCUGGCUGAGCUGACUGUCUUUCCCUGGAAGAUGUUGCAUCUAUUAUCAACCUAGAGAUGUAAAAUAGAACUGAAAAAUGUCUGAAAUUUUCCUUGUUUUUAAUGUUAGAAAAAAAUUAGGAAUCAUUAGUUCUCCAGGCAAAGGAUGAACAACAGUUGGUAUAUAUGAACAUACUGAACUGCGGCACAAUUCUCUGAUUUGCCUUCUGACUUAAACAGUAGCUGAGAACUACUGGAAGCUUUUUUAAAUUCGCCCCAUGGUUAUUGCUAAUGUCCACAGUACCAGACUUUCAAGAACCAAUUUAUUAUCAUAUAUGUAGUCAAACUGACAAGUGGAAAGAAAAGUCACUAUAAUGGUAAGCUGGUAACCUUUCCUUAAUUCAGAUGCCAUGCAGUCAUACCACUGAAUCAGUUGGCUAAAAACAGUAACGCUGUGUAUGAAGCUACCUGCUGCAUCUCCUCUGCAAAAAUAGUUCUUAUUUUAGAAAGCCAAAUUUGAAUAAGAAUACCUACCAGCCUUAACAGAUC
This 1262-nucleotide long non-coding RNA is filed under the name Amazona collaria (yellow-billed parrot). RNAcentral describes it as "lncRNA (ENSACOG00000006313.1)". The record is from RNAcentral. Lineage: Eukaryota; Metazoa; Chordata; Aves; Psittaciformes; Psittacidae.